This 273-nucleotide long non-coding RNA is filed under the name Linum usitatissimum (flax). Its description in RNAcentral is "long non-coding RNA (LUSI_LNC007477)". Lineage: Eukaryota; Viridiplantae; Streptophyta; Magnoliopsida; Malpighiales; Linaceae. The record is from RNAcentral.
CAUCCUCCUUGGGGAUCGAUACGAGUCUUGUCUGGCCGAUUUUGGCCUGGCUAGACUGGUGGGGGGCGGGCGGGGGUCGUUGUGUCUGGCCGAUUUUGGCCUGGCUAGACUGGUGGAGGACGGUCGGGGAUCGUUCUCUGAGAAUCCUCAAUUGGCGGGAUCAUACGGUUACAUGGCACCAGGUAUGGUACAUUAUAUAUACAUUGUGUUAACUAUUUGUUUUAGCUUUAAAUAAAUUUGGUCCGAUUGAUAAACUGUCACACAUUUUCGCAG